AAAGUGCUAGUAAAAAGAUUAUACUGCCUUGUCGAGGCAGAGUUUUGGGUGAAAACCCCAAGCAUUUUG
Molecule: transfer RNA, 69 nt
Filed under: Grammatobothus polyophthalmus (threespot flounder)
Lineage: Eukaryota; Metazoa; Chordata; Actinopteri; Pleuronectiformes; Bothidae
Description: tRNA-Asp
Source: RNAcentral